Molecule: ribosomal RNA, 329 nt
Filed under: uncultured eukaryote
Lineage: Eukaryota
Description: partial 18S ribosomal RNA
Rfam family: Eukaryotic small subunit ribosomal RNA
Source: RNAcentral
CCCUUAGAUGUUCUGGGCCGCACGCGCGCUACACUGAUGCAUUCAACGAGUCUAAAACCUGCUCUGAUAGGGGUGGGUAAUCUUUUGAACGCGCAUCGUGAUUGGGAUAGAUGAUUGCAAUUUUUCAUCUUCAACGAGGAAUGCCUAGUAAACGCAAGUCAUCAGCUUGCAUUGAUUACGUCCCUGCCCUUUGUACACACCGCCCGUCGCUCCUACCGAUUGAAUGAUCCGAUGAAUAUCAUGGAUUGAGGAUGCAAGUAGGUUAGCCUAUCUUCAUCUUCGAGAAGUGAAGUAAAUCUUAUCAUUUAGAGGAAGGAGAAGUCGUAACA